RNAcentral lists this ribosomal RNA (490 nucleotides) under uncultured bacterium. RNAcentral's name for it is "bacterial SSU rRNA". It matches the Rfam family "Bacterial small subunit ribosomal RNA", at positions 30 to 517 of the family's 1533-position model. The record is from RNAcentral.
AUUGAACGCUGGCGGCAUGCUUUACACAUGCAAGUCGAACGGUAACAGCACUUCGGUGGCUGACGAGUGGCGAACGGGUGAGUAAUGUAUCGGAACGUGCCCAGUAGUGGGGGAUAACUACUCGAAAGAGUGGCUAAUACCGCAUGAGAUCUCUGGAUGAAAGCGGGGGACCGUAAGGCCUCGCGCUACUGGAGCGGCCGAUAUCAGAUUAGGUAGUUGGUGGGGUAAAGGCCUACCAAGCCUGCGAUCUGUAGCUGGUCUGAGAGGACGACCAGCCACACUGGGACUGAGACACGGCCCAGACUCCUACGGGAGGCAGCAGUGGGGAAUUUUGGACAAUGGGCGCAAGCCUGAUCCAGCAAUGCCGCGUGCAGGACGAAGGCCUCGGUUGUAACUAGCUUUGUACGGACGAAACGGUAGAGCUCUAAUAAAGACUUGCUAAUGACGGUACCGUAAGAAUAAGCACCGGCUAACUACGUGCCAGCAGCCG